This 56-nucleotide transfer RNA is filed under the name Massilia sp. Root335. RNAcentral describes it as "tRNA-Ser". It matches the Rfam family "tRNA", at positions 17 to 71 of the family's 71-position model. Rfam says of the family: Transfer RNA (tRNA) molecules are approximately 80 nucleotides in length. Lineage: Bacteria; Pseudomonadati; Pseudomonadota; Betaproteobacteria; Burkholderiales; Oxalobacteraceae. The record is from RNAcentral.
GGGAGAGCGCUUGCAUGGCAUGCAAGAGGUCAGCGGUUCGAUCCCGCUUACCUCCA